This 1086-nucleotide long non-coding RNA is filed under the name Carassius auratus (goldfish). RNAcentral describes it as "lncRNA (ENSCARG00000033399.1)". Lineage: Eukaryota; Metazoa; Chordata; Actinopteri; Cypriniformes; Cyprinidae. The record is from RNAcentral.
CUCGAUCUGAUCAAGUCUCUUGAUUUCUAAAUAGCCAAGCCCAAAGACCACCACACCAACCACGGAAAUCAGCUAAACACCAGCUUGGCCAUUCUGAGACAUUAGCCCAAAAUGGGAUUAUACCAGCUUUGGCUAGAAUCUAAUAUUUCAAUAGCAAUUUUGCAUUAGACAGAAAUCAUUAAACUUGUGGCUAAAACACAAAAGCUGGACUUUGAAAUGGACGUGACUGGGACUAAAUUGAAUUGAAUAAAGUACAGUGAACAACAUGCGUAACUAACUAUACAUCAAAACCCCUCCCGACUGACAAAACCACACCUAGUACAGGUCAAUGGUGCAUUUUCAGCACCUUCAUAACAGCCAGCACAUUCGAACCCUUCUCAUUGUCCUGAGGUAGACCCAGCUCAGCUCAACACUAGAGGACUCUCAAGAGACACUGGAGACAAACUAUGUCAGGGGACGCAUACCUGAGGUUGCUCUCUAUAGUAGCCUAUUUAUGUGUUCUCAACACUGAGGCUCAUUCAGGUGGUUUUCCACUCACUCUUCCUGACUGGACGUCAAAUGCAGAUUAUUUUGCGAAGUGUGAUUUUGGCAGUGAUUUGCCAGCAUCCUGUGAUUGGACCUCUGAGGGACCCAUCAGCGCUCAGAAGGCAACAGGUAAUUAUACUGUGGAGACGAAAUUGCUGCAGAGACAGUAACUGCUUUGUGUUUACAACCAAUCCAUCCACCUGCUGAACAACAACAGCAGUUAACAGGUUGCUUACAACACGCAGAGAUCAAGUCAGUUCAAUUUUUGCCGAUCUGUGGUAAUUAUGUGUGAAACAUCACGUCGUCAUUGUCUAUAAAACAGUGCCACUCUAAGGAGCUAAAGGUGAUUUGCAUUUAUUAAGUCAUCAGGUAUUAUGUUUGAGCAGAAAAAAUAUAAAAAUACUGACACUAUUAUAUAGGCCUACCUCUUCCUAGUGACCCUAUUAACUUUUUACCAAAAAAAAAAAAUUACAUAUGUAUGUAAAAUGUAUAAUUAUAUACAUACAUACAUACAUACAGUGGUGGACGAAGUGCACAAAUCAAGUACUUGAGUAAAAGUAC